UUACACAUGCAAGUCGAACGAUGAACCUGGAGCUUGCUCUAGGGGAUUAGUGGCGAACGGGUGAGUAACACGUGAGUAACCUGCCCUUGACUCUGGGAUAACCUCCGGAAACGGAAGCUAAUACCGGAUAUGACGCACGGAGGCAUCUCCUGUGCGUGGAAAGAAUUUCGGUCAAGGAUGGACUCGCGGCCUAUCAGGUAGUUGGUGAGGUAACGGCCCACCAAGCCUACGACGGGUAGCCGGCCUGAGAGGGUGACCGGCCACACUGGGACUGAGACACGGCCCAGACUCCUACGGGAGGCAGCAGUGGGGAAUAUUGCACAAUGGGCGAAAGCCUGAUGCAGCAACGCCGCGUGAGGGACGACGGCCUUCGGGUUGUAAACCUCUUUUAGUAGGGAAGAAGCGAAAGUGACGGUACCUGCAGAAAAAGCACCGGCUAACUACGUGCCAGCAGCCGCGGUAAUACGUAGGGUGCGAGCGUUGUCCGGAAUUAUUGGGCGUAAAGAGCUCGUAGGCGGUCUGUCGCGUCUGCUGUGAAAUCCCGAGGCUCAACCUCGGGCCUGCAGUGGGUACGGGCAGACUAGAGUGCGGUAGGGGAGAAUGGAAUUCCUGGUGUAGCGGUGGAAUGCGCAGAUAUCAGGAGGAACACCGAUGGCGAAGGCAGUUCUCUGGGCCGUAACUGACGCUGAGGAGCGAAAGCGUGGGGAGCGAACAGGAUUAGAUACCCUGGUAGUCCACGCCGUAAACGUUGGGCGCUAGAUGUGGGGACCAUUCCACGGUUUCCGUGUCGCAGCUAACGCAUUAAGCGCCCCGCCUGGGGAGUACGGCCGCAAGGCUAAAACUCAAGGAAU
RNAcentral lists this ribosomal RNA (851 nucleotides) under Leifsonia sp. NAS2(6). RNAcentral's name for it is "bacterial SSU rRNA". It matches the Rfam family "Bacterial small subunit ribosomal RNA", at positions 49 to 910 of the family's 1533-position model. The record is from RNAcentral. Lineage: Bacteria; Bacillati; Actinomycetota; Actinomycetes; Micrococcales; Microbacteriaceae.